Molecule: ribosomal RNA, 390 nt
Filed under: Nitrosomonas sp.
Lineage: Bacteria; Pseudomonadati; Pseudomonadota; Betaproteobacteria; Nitrosomonadales; Nitrosomonadaceae
Description: partial 23S ribosomal RNA
Rfam family: Bacterial large subunit ribosomal RNA
Source: RNAcentral
UCACAUCCUGGGGCUGUAGCCGGUCCCAAGGGUAUGGCUGUUCGCCAUUUAAAGUGGUACGUGAGCUGGGUUUAAAACGUCGUGAGACAGUUUGGUCCCUAUCUGCCGUGGGCGUUGGAAGUUUGAAUGGGGCUGCUUCUAGUACGAGAGGACCGAAGUGGACGCACCUCUGGUGUACCGGUUAUAACGCCAGUUGUAUUGCCGGGUAGCUAAGUGCGGAAAAGAUAACCGCUGAAAGCAUCUAAGCGGGAAACUUGCCAUAAGAUAAGACUUCCCAAGGAUUUAAUCCUUCUAAAGGUUCGUUGGAGACUACAACGUUAAUAGGUCGAGUGUGUAAGCAUAGUAAUAUGUUCAGCUUAUCGAUACUAAUUGACCGUGUGGCUUGAUCCU